ACGCUGGCGGCGUGCCUAAUACAUGCAAGUCGAGCGCGGGAAGCUCAUCAAUCAUCCUUCGGGGUGACUGUUGAGUGGAACGAGCGGCGGAUGGGUGAGUAACACGUGGGCAACCUGCCUGUAAGCUUGGGAUAACUCGUGGAAACGCGAGCUAAUACCGAAUGAAAAGUUUGUUCGCAUGAACAGACGGUGAAAGAUGGCUUUUGCUGUCACUUACAGAUGGGCCCGCGUCGCAUUAGCUAGUUGGUGGGGUAAAAGCUCACCAAAGCAACGAUGCGUAGCCGACCUGAGAGGGUGAUCGGCCACACUGGGACUGAGACACGGCCCAGACUCCUACGGGAGGCAGCAGUAGGGAAUCUUCCGCAAUGGACGAAAGUCUGACGGAGCGACGCCCGCGUGAGUGAUGAAGGUCUUCGGAUCGUAAAACUCUGUUGUCGGGGAAGAACAAGUAUCGGCCUAAUACGCCGGUACCUUGACGGUACCUGAUUAGAAAGCCCCGGCUAACUACGUGCCAGCCGCCGC
RNAcentral lists this ribosomal RNA (522 nucleotides) under uncultured bacterium. RNAcentral describes it as "bacterial SSU rRNA". It matches the Rfam family "Bacterial small subunit ribosomal RNA", at positions 33 to 518 of the family's 1533-position model. The record is from RNAcentral.